This 358-nucleotide transfer-messenger RNA is filed under the name Gammaproteobacteria (g-proteobacteria). RNAcentral's name for it is "Bin55 sp009841615 Standard tmRNA". It matches the Rfam family "transfer-messenger RNA". From Rfam's summary of the family: Bacterial tmRNA, also known as 10Sa RNA or SsrA, is named for its dual tRNA and mRNA-like properties. Its role is to liberate the mRNA from a stalled ribosome. The record is from RNAcentral. RNAcentral also lists the same sequence under 1 other name. Lineage: Bacteria; Pseudomonadati; Pseudomonadota.
GGGGGCGAUCUGGAUUCGACGACGGAUACAAAGUCUCAGGUGCAUGUCGAGCGUGUAGGAUAACUCGUAAAACGAUCCUUCAAAUCAAACAUAGUUGCCAACGACGACAACUACGCUCUAGCAGCUUAAAGCCGCUAGUUCUGUCUAGCUGCUUGCUCAUGGGAAGUUAGACGGAAUCAUACUACGUGAGCUCGUGUUUUUUGCCGGUCCAAGCAACGAACACUAAAUCUCCGGACUCGCUUACCGUGGCCUCGUCCAGUUGGGCUAACGGCGAGUUAAAUUUGAGAACUGGACUAAGCAUGUAGAUCCAAGGAUCGAGUUCUGGCGGACGCGGGUUCAAAUCCCGCCGCCUCCACCA